RNAcentral lists this ribosomal RNA (253 nucleotides) under uncultured bacterium. Its description in RNAcentral is "partial 16S ribosomal RNA". It matches the Rfam family "Bacterial small subunit ribosomal RNA", at positions 524 to 776 of the family's 1533-position model. The record is from RNAcentral.
UACGUAGGGUGCAAGCGUUAAUCGGAAUUACUGGGCGUAAAGCGUGCGCAGGCGGUUGUUUAAGUCAGCUGUGAAAUCCCCGGGCUUAACCUGGGAAUGGCAGUUGAGACUGGACGGCUAGAGUGUGUCAGAGGGGGGUAGAAUUCCACGUGUAGCAGUGAAAUGCGUAGAGAUGUGGAGGAACACCGAUGGCGAAGGCAGCCCCCUGGGAUAACACUGACGCUCAUGCACGAAAGCGUGGGGAGCAAACAGG